GACGAACGCUGGCGGCGUGCUUAACACAUGCGAGUCGAACGGAAAGGCCCUGCUUUUGUGGGGUGCUCGAGUGGCGAACGGGUGAGUAACACGUGAGUAACCUGCCCUUGACUUUGGGAUAACUUCAGGAAACUGGGGCUAAUACCGGAUAGGAGCUCCUGCUGCAUGGUGGGGGUUGGAAAGUUUCGGCGGUUGGGGAUAGACUCGCGGCUUAUCAGCUUGUUGGUGGGGUAGUGGCUUACCAAGGCUUUGACGGGUAGCCCGCCUGAGAGGGUGACCGGCCACAUUGGUACUGAGAUACGGACCAGACGCCUACGGGAAGCAGCAGUGGAGAGUAUUGCACAAUAGGCGGAAGCCUGAUGCAGCAACGCCGGGAGCGGGAUAACGUCCUUCGGGUUAUGAACCACUUUCGCAUGAGACGAAGCCUGAGUGACGGUAAUGAGUAAAGAAGCACCGGCUAACUACGUG
RNAcentral lists this ribosomal RNA (468 nucleotides) under uncultured bacterium. RNAcentral describes it as "partial 16S ribosomal RNA". It matches the Rfam family "Bacterial small subunit ribosomal RNA", at positions 28 to 507 of the family's 1533-position model. The record is from RNAcentral.